Molecule: ribosomal RNA, 853 nt
Filed under: bacterium RB26DO
Lineage: Bacteria
Description: bacterial SSU rRNA
Rfam family: Bacterial small subunit ribosomal RNA
Source: RNAcentral
AGUCGAACGAUGAAGCCCAGCUUGCUGGGUGGAUUAGUGGCGAACGGGUGAGUAACACGUGAGUAACCUGCCCUUCACUCUGGGAUAACUCCGGGAAACCGGUGCUAAUACUGGAUAUGACUCCAACCUGCAUGGGUAUGGGGUGGAAAGAUUUAUCGGUGGAGGAUGGACUCGCGGCCUAUCAGCUUGUUGGUGGGGUAAUGGCCUACCAAGGCGACGACGGGUAGCCGGCCUGAGAGGGUGACCGGCCACACUGGGACUGAGACACGGCCCAGACUCCUACGGGAGGCAGCAGUGGGGAAUAUUGCACAAUGGGCGAAAGCCUGAUGCAGCGACGCCGCGUGAGGGAUGACGGCCUUCGGGUUGUAAACCUCUUUCAGCUCUGACGAAGCCUUYGGGUGACGGUAGGAGCAGAAGAAGCACCGGCUAACUACGUGCCAGCAGCCGCGGUAAUACGUAGGGUGCGAGCGUUGUCCGGAAUUAUUGGGCGUAAAGAGCUUGUAGGCGGUUUGUCGCGUCUGCUGUGAAAGCCCGGGGCUUAACCCCGGGUCUGCAGUGGGUACGGGCAGGCUAGAGUGUGGUAGGGGAGACUGGAAUUCCUGGUGUAGCGGUGGAAUGCGCAGAUAUCAGGAGGAACACCGAUGGCGAAGGCAGGUCUCUGGGCCACUACUGACGCUGAGAAGCGAAAGCGUGGGGAGCGAACAGGAUUAGAUACCCUGGUAGUCCACGCCGUAAACGUUGGGCGCUAGGUGUGGGUCCCAUUCCACGGGGUCCGUGCCGCAGCUAACGCAUUAAGCGCCCCGCCUGGGGAGUACGGCCGCAAGGYUAAAACUCAAGGAAUUGACGGGGGCCC